CGGCUCACCUAGGCGACGAUCCCUAGCUGGUCUGAGAGGAUGACCCGCCACACUGGGACUGAGACACGGCCCAGACUCCUACGGGAGGCAGCAGUGGGGAAUAUUGCACAAUGGGCGCAAGCCUGAUGCAGCCAUGCCGCGUGUGUGAAGAAGGCCUUCGGGUUGUAAAGCACUUUCAGCGGGGAGGAAGGCGUUAAGGUUAAUAACCUUGGCGAUUGACGUUACCCGCAGAAGA
This 235-nucleotide ribosomal RNA is filed under the name Acinetobacter baumannii. Its description in RNAcentral is "partial 16S ribosomal RNA". It matches the Rfam family "Bacterial small subunit ribosomal RNA", at positions 261 to 488 of the family's 1533-position model. The record is from RNAcentral. Lineage: Bacteria; Pseudomonadati; Pseudomonadota; Gammaproteobacteria; Moraxellales; Moraxellaceae.